AGGCCUAACACAUGCAAGUCGAACGAGACCUUCGGGUCUAGUAGCGCACGGGUGCGUAACGCGUGGGAAUCUACCCUUAGGUGCGGAAUAACUCAGAGAAAUUUGAGCUAAUACCGCAUAAUGACUCCGGUCCAAAGAUUUAUCGCCUAAGGAUGAGCCCGCGUAAGAUUAGCUAGUUGGUGAGGUAAAAGCUCACCAAGGCGACGAUCUUUAGCUGGUCUGAGAGGACGACCAGCCACACUGGGACUGAGACACGGCCCAGACUCCUACGGGAGGCAGCAGUGGGGAAUAUUGGACAAUGGGCGCAAGCCUGAUCCAGCCAUGCCGCGUGAGUGAUGAAGGCCUUAGGGUUGUAAAGCUCUUUUACCAGGGAUGAUAAUGACAGUACCUGGAGAAUAAG
RNAcentral lists this ribosomal RNA (400 nucleotides) under uncultured Alphaproteobacteria bacterium. Its description in RNAcentral is "bacterial SSU rRNA". It matches the Rfam family "Bacterial small subunit ribosomal RNA", at positions 44 to 490 of the family's 1533-position model. The record is from RNAcentral. Lineage: Bacteria; Pseudomonadati; Pseudomonadota; Alphaproteobacteria.